RNAcentral lists this ribosomal RNA (432 nucleotides) under uncultured bacterium. RNAcentral's name for it is "partial 16S ribosomal RNA". It matches the Rfam family "Bacterial small subunit ribosomal RNA", at positions 29 to 507 of the family's 1533-position model. The record is from RNAcentral.
GCGAACGCUGGCGGCAGGCCUAACACAUGCAAGUCGAACGAACUCUUCGGAGUUAGUGGCGGACGGGUGAGUAACACGUGGGAACGUGCCUUUAGGUUCGGAAUAACUCAGGGAAACUUGUGCUAAUACCGAAUGUGCCCUUCGGGGGAAAGAUUUAUCGCCUUUAGAGCGGCCCGCGUCUGAUUAGCUAGUUGGUGAGGUAAAGGCUCACCAAGGCGACGAUCAGUAGCUGGUCUGAGAGGAUGAUCAGCCACAUUGGGACUGAGACACGGCCCAAACUCCUACGGGAGGCAGCAGUGGGGAAUCUUGCGCAAUGGGCGAAAGCCUGACGCAGCCAUGCCGCGUGAAUGAUGAAGGUCUUAGGAUUGUAAAAUUCUUUCACCGGGGACGAUAAUGACGGUACCCGGAGAAGAAGCCCCGGCUAACUUCGUG